This 254-nucleotide ribosomal RNA is filed under the name uncultured bacterium. Its description in RNAcentral is "partial 16S ribosomal RNA". It matches the Rfam family "Bacterial small subunit ribosomal RNA", at positions 524 to 776 of the family's 1533-position model. The record is from RNAcentral.
UACGUAGGCAGCGAGCGUUGUUCGGAGUUACUGGGCGUAAAGGGUGUGUAGGCGGUCCUCUAAGUUUGGUGUGAAAUCUCCCGGCUCAACCGGGAGGGUGCGCCGAAAACUGGGGGGCUAGAGUGCGGGAUGGGUAAGUGGAAUUCCUGGUGUAGCGGUGAAAUGCGUAGAUAUCAGGAGGAACACCUGUGGUGUAGACGGCUUACUGGACCGCAACUGACGCUGAGACACGAAAAGCGUGGGUAGCAAACAGG